CGGACGGGUGAGUAACACGUGGAUAACCUACCUAUAAGACUGGGAUAACUUCGGGAAACCGGAGCUAAUACCGGAUAAUAUAUUGAACCGCAUGGUUCAAUAGUGAAAGACGGUUUUGCUGUCACUUAUAGAUGGAUCCGCGCCGCAUUAGCUAGUUGGUAAGGUAACGGCUUACCAAGGCAACGAUGCGUAGCCGACCUGAGAGGGUGAUCGGCCACACUGGAACUGAGACACGGUCCAGACUCCUACGGGAGGCAGCAGAU
RNAcentral lists this ribosomal RNA (263 nucleotides) under uncultured Staphylococcus sp. RNAcentral describes it as "partial 16S ribosomal RNA". It matches the Rfam family "Bacterial small subunit ribosomal RNA", at positions 99 to 354 of the family's 1533-position model. The record is from RNAcentral. Lineage: Bacteria; Bacillati; Bacillota; Bacilli; Caryophanales; Staphylococcaceae.